UCACACCCGUUCCCAUACCGAACACGGAAGUUAAGCUUCUCAGCGCCGAUGGUAGUUGGGACCUUGUCCCUGUGAGAGUAGGACGUUGCCAGGC
RNAcentral lists this ribosomal RNA (94 nucleotides) under Neobacillus cucumis. Lineage: Bacteria; Bacillati; Bacillota; Bacilli; Caryophanales; Bacillaceae. The record is from RNAcentral.